Molecule: non-coding RNA, 431 nt
Organism: Camellia sinensis
Lineage: Eukaryota; Viridiplantae; Streptophyta; Magnoliopsida; Ericales; Theaceae
Source: RefSeq, a predicted model, not a curated record
UUUCUGGUUCUCCUAAUCAACAAAAUUCUUCUCGUCUCUCUCUCCCUCUCUCCCUCUCUCUAAAGUCUAAACUCAUUCUUUGGUAUUUUUUCUGUUUAUCGUUGUUCUUUGAAGCCAAAAUGGUUCUGUAGUUUUCUUCUGGGUUCUGCUUCUAGGUUUUGAUUUUUACCUAACUUGAGUAGUGCCAUCUUGAUCUGGGGGCUGGAUUAUAACAUUACUACACACAUUUACAAGCACUCUCAAAAUAUGAUCACUACGGAUUUUAAAGGUAUAACCUGGGUUGGAGAUAUAUGCCAGAAGUUUGAAACCCUGUGCUUGGAGUUGGAAGAAGAUAUGUAUCGGGACACAGUUGAAUAUGUUGAAGACCAGGUGCAGACAGUUGGUGCAAGUGUCAAAAAGUUAUACUCUGAUGUCUUACAAGAUUUGACUUU